GCCAGCCCGCUCAGAAACUUAAAGGAAUUGACGGGGCCCGCACAAGCGGUGGAGUAUGUGGUUUAAUCGAUGCAACGCGAAGAACCUUACCUGGUCUUGACAUCCCGGAGACCCUUAGGAAACUAGGGGGUGCUUCCAUCUGGAAGAAUCUGGAGACAGGUGCUGCAUGGCUGUCGUCAGCUCGUGUCGUGAGAUGUUGGGUUAAGUCCCGCAACGAGCGCAACCCUUGCCUUUAGUUGCCAGCAGUUCGGCUGGGCACUCUAAAGGGACUGCCGGUGUUAAACCGGAGGAAGGUGGGGAUGACGUCAAGUCCUCAUGGCCUUUAUGACCAGGGCUACACACGUACUACAAUGGCCGAUACAAAGGGCAGCGACACUGCGAGGUGAAGCCAAUCCCGUAAAAUCGGUCUCAGUCCGGAUUGGAGUCUGCAACUCGACUCCAUGAAGUUGGAAUCGCUAGUAAUCGUGGAUCAGCAUGCCACGGUGAAUACGUUCCCGGGCCUU
This 503-nucleotide ribosomal RNA is filed under the name uncultured Desulfobulbus sp. Its description in RNAcentral is "bacterial SSU rRNA". It matches the Rfam family "Bacterial small subunit ribosomal RNA", at positions 903 to 1382 of the family's 1533-position model. Lineage: Bacteria; Pseudomonadati; Thermodesulfobacteriota; Desulfobulbia; Desulfobulbales; Desulfobulbaceae. The record is from RNAcentral.